Molecule: ribosomal RNA, 116 nt
Filed under: Bacillus amyloliquefaciens
Lineage: Bacteria; Bacillati; Bacillota; Bacilli; Caryophanales; Bacillaceae
Also listed under: 1 other name
Source: RNAcentral
UUUGGUGGCGAUAGCGAAGAGGUCACACCCGUUCCCAUGCCGAACACGGAAGUUAAGCUCUUCAGCGCCGAUGGUAGUCGGGGAUUUCCCCCUGUGAGAGUAGGACGCCGCCAAGC